AACAGGUGUAUAAGGGGGUACCGACACUCCAUAUAUCAUACUGUAGCAGGUAUACCCCUUCUCUAACCCCCCCAACACCACCACUCACUGGAGAGCAGCAUGUACCCAGCAGCACCCCCCUUGAGCAUUGGCGUGCACACACACUCACACACAUUUAAAAACACAUACACACACACAGGAGCAGAAGACAACCCCUGGAGCUCGACCUACAUUGUGCGUCCUCCUGCCUCAGAUCUGACUAUUCAUCACCACAUGGCACCAGUCCCCCAUUGGGAAGAGGUGGCGUUGCUUUUGGGGGAGAGAGAGUGAGGAAGGGAGACAGAGGGGAGAAAGAGCAUGGUAUGCUACACAGUGUAGGACAGGGCGUCCUUUACACCUCCAGAACAAUGGGACCUUCAGCGUUAGUGCUGCAGAGUGAAGCUCCUACUGGAGGAAGAUGGGCCCAGUGAGUCGCCAUCGUUAAAACAAAGUGGUCCAGAAUCCAGUACAGGGAUUCAGAUUUUAGAAGAGUUUCGUUAAUUUUAGUCUUUGUAUUUUGAAGGGGUGUUCCGAUCUGAUAUUUAUAUCGAAUAUCGGUCCUAUAUCAGUAAAUAAACAAAUAUCGGAAUAUAUCGGCCUGCAUCUAAAAUCUCCAAUAUCAGCUAUCCGAUAUAAGCAGUCUAUUCCAGACUUCGCUCCGGCAUCGCUAACUAGCAGUGCCUGGAUCUAGAAUGAGUCCACAUAAUCACAACAACAGUGUGUACUAAGAUACUGACAAAGUAGCAAGGAGUGGGAGUGAUGUUUGUGCCAAUAUCGGUAUCGAUCAAUGUCAGUAUUGGCCAAUAAUGAAGGCUACAAUAUUGGUAUCGUAUCGGAAGUCAAAAAAAUUUGUAUCCUGACACCCCUCGUAUUUUGUGUUGUUUUAGUCAAGCUUUAGUCAGAGGUUCUCAGUUUUUAUUUUCAUCUAAUUUUUUUGUCACUUAAAGAAUAGUUUUUUAUAGAAAGAUGUAAAAAUCCCAGAGAUUGCCUUAAUAUUAUAUUCAGUCAUCGUAGUUGAAAAUGUUUUUCUAACUUUUCAUGUCACAGAAAAAACUGAACACCUAAAACUUGUUUAGAAAAGUGCAAUAAGUCAUUUCAAUUGUAUGGGGGAACAUUUAACUGAACUCUGUUAUUGUUUGCUGAAUGACUCAGGGUCUGAAUAUAAUGGAAUCAGACUUUAGAAGAAUGUAGCUCUGUUCAAGUAAAGGAUCGGUUAACCAGCGCCGCAUGCUGAGCACUAUCUGGUAUUAUGAAGACUUUUGCUAGCUUGUCAAAGAGUGUUACCAUAGUGCAAGUCACUAGAGACUUGAUUUCUCAGAGAAAUCUGAAUUUGGUGAACAUCAGAUUUGUAGAUUUAUUUUGUAUUCCUGUCAGAGGAUCAGCCUGCGUCCUUGUUAUGUACCUGAGCAGACACUGAAGAGUGCUUUCUUUUCCUAGAUCUGUUAUUUUUCUGCCAAUAUGCUCAUACAGAUGGCACUCUGUUCUAAUCAGAACGAUACUCUCAGUCUCAUCUUUUAAAAGAAUGUGUCCACAGCUCGUCUCUUUUCUUCAGACUGCGACUGUAAUAAGGCUUUAUAGUUUUUAGUGAUGCCAGCUGUCUGAAUGAGAAUUGUUAGCCCUUUGAUAGGAUCCCUGUUAGCUUGCUAGUUUUGGCUUCUUACCAGAGAGUUACCAGAUCUAAAACGUUUUCUGUAAAUGCAUCACCUUAAAGUAAUUGUGGUGCAUGCAAAGGUCAUGCCCAAAUAACAACUCCAUAUUCAACCCAAGCAUACAUACAUGUGCUUCUGUAUACAGUUUUUGUUCAGCACACCAAAUGCACACAUCAGCAUUGCUUGACCAAACACUUUGUACAUGUAACAACUGGGCAAGUUUUGUUCAUUGGAUCCACAAAGAAAGGACAAACUCAUAUUUUGUCUGUUUUAUCAAGAGUGUGAUGAGCCACUUGUCCCACAAGAUGAGACAUCAGAUCUGUCUACAGAAACAAACCGUGACACACAGUUGUCUGUCUCUACAUUUUAAAGCAGAAUUAGGAAAAAACAACUCGUGACUCGUAUGUCUUGUUUUGUGCACCUGUUUGUCAUGAAAUUGUCUUUAUAUGUAUUUUUUUUAUGAAAACCCUUUUUUACUUGAUUAGUAAUAAUAAACAUCCGCUACCUCCUGCAUGCGGCACAAAAGAUCUAAAGGGUGAUAUUUCUUGAGUUUGUCUGAUGAUGUUCAUUAAAGACAGAGAGGUUUACUAAUCCUAGCUUUACUCUCUUGCCUUGAAUUAUCAGAUUUUCUCAUCAUAAUGGGUUCACUAUCUUUGCCUUUAUUACAAAUAUGUAGGUGUAUUUGUGCAUGUCCCUCCAUGUUUGCCUUGUUGAUUAUCAUCCAUAGGUCUGGUUAGAAAUCUUUCUAGCUGAAAUCAUGUCCAGACUGUGGCCUGUAAGUUUACCCAGUAUCAUAAGCUCUUACUGUGCCCCUCUCUUUUGGCCUCAGUGAAUACUUAUGGCAACAACAGAUUUUUAGUUAUCCUUUUAAUUCUUCGGAUAUUUUCUCUCAAUGUACAUCUCGGAAUAGCUGGCCUGAGUCAAAUGUGCUGGGACUGUUUCCUCAAACGUUUGCACUGAUUAUACAGUUUUUUUUUUUUCUGCCUGGUAUGUCUCAUCAAGUACGAUACUAGCUUUUUUUUUAACAUCUUACAGCUGCGGUCACUCAGGCUCUGCUGGGCUCAGCAGCAAAGUUAAGGUCUUGUUAGUGCAGAAAAGUUGCAUCAAAUUUUAAUUUAUUAACAUUUUAUUCAAAGUCCCAGGCCUGACAUAUGUGCUUAUAUAACAAGGCCCGUGAGACUAAUUGGUCUCAGUGUGAAAGUGGUCUGUCCACUCAGCUACCAUGAAAAACAGUGAUCUCAGGCCGGCAUGACUGAUUGGGUAUUUUUAAUGUAAGUGGACGAGGAUAAACAACCAGCCCCCCCACCCCCUUAAAAAAAGCAUUUUGAAAUUUUUUUUUUUUUUUUUUUGUGUGAAACUUGUUUUUUUCAGAGGGAUCAGGAUCAAGCCGUACUCUGAGGCUGAGUUGUGUUUUUUGGAGAUAUUGCAUCUCUGUAGGACACUGACAAUCUGCACCAAUCAUUUUAGCUCGAUUUGUUGGGCACGCUGAUUGCACUGGUCUCUGCUGAUUGCACUGAUUCAAGAGUUUGAAGAUGGGGUCGGAUAAGCAUUCUCUGAGUGAAGGCUGAACUUGCUGUUCUUACAGAAAAAGGAGGUUUUUGUGUAAAUCUUUGCUUAAAUACUUAGUUAUCUCGAGUGGAAUAUCUUCUACUUUACCAAUUAAAUGAUGAUUAAAUUACGUUAAAGUAAACUUUGAUAAACUAUCUUUAUGGAAAGACGUUUGUAGCUCUUGAGAUUUUAAAGUCUUAUUUACUGAAAAGGAAUCAGCUGAAAACAUCUUCAAGUGUGUGAACUCCAAGGAAAUACAUAAAACACCUCAGUAAGAUUGAAGGAUGCCCACUGAAAGUCUUUUUUCUCUCCUAAAUAGUCACUUAUUUCCUCUGGCACACACACACACAUACAUGCAUGUCCUGGUUCGAUGACAAAAUUUAUGAAGGUUAUCUGAGCUAAAACCUGUUGAAGAUCUGUCCCCACAAUCACAGUCCACUGAAAUAGUGCUGGGCGAUAGGACGAUAGAUAUCGUGGGCACGAUAGAAAAUGUCUAUCGUGCCAUUUUUAUUUUUAUCGUUUUGGGCGAUAGGCUGUAUUUUAUCCAUAGGGCUUGUGCCAUCAGAUGAUUCAUAGUAACAACAACAAUAAUUGCACAUUCAGUAAGUGUAUUUGGUGUCGAACGGGAAAGAAAACAAUAUUUUCUUACAAAGAAAAGGAUGCGUUGACAUGUAGGCUCGCAUUUCUCUUUCGAUUUUGCGACAUGACGCCGUUUACGUGCCCUCUUCGUGUCCAGCGUCUCCCGCCGUUGCGGGUUACCUGAGUUACACACGUGAGGGGAUCAUUGUAAGCAGUGCUUAAUUUGUGCCGGAGCAAGUCGGAGCGCGCUCCGGGACCUCUUUUGAUCGGAUCCGGGACCUAUUUCAGCUGUUCCGGCACCUGUUUCAUCUGCUCCGGGACCUUCCCUGUAGACGAUGACAUUUUGCGGGAAUUCCCGUGGGUCACGUGAUUCCCGCAGGGAAUCCCACGGGAUGGGAAUCAUUUUUUAAUUAAUCCCUUGAUCGGGACGGGACGGGAAAAAAGCAACGGGAGUGGGCAGGAGCGGGAACAACAUUAAAAGAUGAUCAUUUUCAGCCGUGUUUAACAACCAGAUGAACAGGUGCGUCCAUAUUUGUAGUCAUCUCUUAGUGAGAGCCAACACUCUUGACCGCGCUAGCAACACAAAAGAACUACAACAGUGAUUUGACUUCCUGUCAGCUGGGAGCGCGGCUGCGCAUUUCUACCCUUCAAGCCAGCAGCGAGGAAACGUAAUUUUGUGACAUUCUGUAGUUUUUCAAUCAUUUCUGGAGUCGUGGCGAAUCAAAUCACCUUACCUGUCUGCUCCUGAUAGGCGAAUAAAGCGCUCGGAUUCAUGCUCUGGUCUUGCUACGUGCUUCAAGAGUAAAGUAAACAAUGAUGGAGGCAGAGAGCAGCUUUGGAGGAGAAACAUCUAGCAGUGUGAACAACCUCUUUAAAAGAGCCCUAAAGACCUACCUUUUCAAUAAAGCCUUAGGUUACCAUAUCGCCCAGCACUACACUGAAAGAUCUCAUCCAAACACAUUGUACCCAUGAUGAUCUACAGGUUGCUUCAAAAAAUUUCAAAGUCCUUCCACUGUUGGUCAAGUUGUCAUCUUUUCUUGUUAAAGGGUUUGGAUCCCACCUCAUCCUCAGGUUAAAAACCUCAGUGUAGAUGCCUCUAGUGAGCGUGAUUUCUGCUCCUUUAUGGUGAUCCAGAUCAUUUGGCUCGACUAAAACUGUCUUUGGACUACAAAAAGGCUCACUGAAGUUGCAUUUCUACUUUUAAGAUCAGGCCCCCAGAGCUAAGCUGUUUGCAACCAACACAGGCUUCCCAUCCCAGAGCAGGGAUGUAUUUUAUACAUAGGCUGCAUAUACUAUGGACAACUUGGUUCCGCCCUCUGCCGUUAUAUGAAUUUGAAGCCGAAUCUCUCUCUGCAUUUACCUAUCUUUCAGGUGUCAAUCAUAGAAAACAUGAACCCCCAAAUAACUUUUAAAAGUGGAGCUGUACAGGAAAAAAAAACAGUCUUACAGUAACUACAUGUCAACAUCGCAACCAGGGGGGAGAAAAAAAAUUAUAUUCUCUGUAAUAAAUUUCUAAAGUUUGUCCACAGCUCCAUAAGAAUUGCUGGAGGAGGCAGGAUUUAUGACCUAUACUGCAGCCCAUCAACAGAGGGUGCUGUUUUCGCGGUGGCUUCACCCAGCGAAGAGGCAGAUGGCGUCCAUUCUAUAUACAGUCUAUGGUUUUUUACUGUUAGCUGGGCUAGCAUAUUGUGCUAGUUUAACUCUUAACAGUAUUGGUGAGGGGUUCACAAAUGUUUAACCUAUGUUUUAACAAUGUCUUGUCUUGGUAAACCCGCACAGACUUAAUGUCUACUUGUGAGUGAGGAUUCAUAAGUGAUGCCACAUUAAGUAAUUGGAGAGGCCCUUGAUUGCCUGGUCCUUGGUGAUUCUUUGGCCUUUUGCUUCAUUUGUUUGGUUUACUUCUCUCCACACCAGUUUUACUCAUUUAUAGCAGGUGUAGUUUUUAUUUGAAUUUAUAGAUUUGGCCUCCAAGCUGGAGUGCAAGCUCUCUUCAUAUGUGGAGAGUCAAUCAUUUCCUACCCUCUGCCCAACAGCCUCACAUUGAGCAGAACAAAGCACUGCAUGAGUGUACUCUCCACAUGGGGUUAUUGAUUACUAGACGGGAAAGUCACCUUAUUUUCAGAGGAAUUUGGAUGUUUGCAUAGCUACAUCUGCAGAGGAUUUCUAGAGCAUGUUCAAAAGUUUUGAUAGAGCUUUUUUUUUUUUUUUUUUUUUUGGGAGGGCCAGAUGGUUUCAAUUUUUAGUUUAUCACAUUUGUUGCAUUGUUGUUCCCUACAUUCAGAUGAGCUCUUCCAUAUGUGCUCUAUUCUGCUGCUGCCACUGUCAGCCUGAACGUCCUUGAUGCUACAUAUGAGAGGUCCCCUAAUGCCAGUAGUUCUUUUGUCUUCAUCCAGCCUUCAAAAUAGGUUUCUCUGAUUGAGAUGAGAUAGAAUUUGGUUUCUUUUUUCAUGCCAGACACAAUCUCUGUCUCCCUGUUUUCCCUCUGGAUCUGGAGAGAAAAGGAGAGCAAAGAAGAUUUUAAUUGCUCUCCUCUCAUCCACAUCUUCCCCACCACAUUCAUCAAGUCGUCUUUCCCUCCUUAGAAAGAGGCUGGAGGGUGUCGUAGAGCGAGGCAAUGAGAUUUUAUUUUAUUAUUUGGGGGCAAGGGGGGAUUCUCCCAUGGGACGGGGCACAUCUGGGGAUGGGAUGGUGAUGGAGGAUAAAGGGAUGAGGCAGGGAGAUUGGUGUUUGUGUGCGGACGUAUGAAGCUGUCUGUGCCUUUGAGUGUGUGUCUGAGGAUCUUCUGUGCGUGUCUCACAGAGGGAGGGGAGGGGAGGCAGACGAGAGAGGGCCUGAAAUCCUUGGGGAGUCUGUGAUUGGGAGGGAAAUGGGGAAUUGGGACUCAGGGAGUAUGAAGUAGAGGUGGAGGAGGGAGAAGGAGAUGGGUAAAAAAGGUAGGAUGAAAAGGGCAAAUUAAAGCCCUGCUGCAGCAAAAACUUGCAAUUAUAUGACGGGAGAAAAGACAAGUGCAUUUUUCAAAGUUUUUGGCAGGGAGCUCUGCCUCCAACAAAUAGAGGCACGGUCCUUGAAAGGAGCGAAAAGUGGCUCUCUGUUGAUCAGAGCCAUUAUUUGAAAUCAUCACAGUAAACCUGUACUUUUACUCCUUUUUAACGAAAGCAGAAUCUGGCCACAACAUGCUGACACAUUUCCUCUAAUAACAGGCUUCAUCGCUGGAUGGAGGCUUGCUUUUUCUGCCUUUCAAAACCAACAUAUUCAUUGCUGCCAACUCCAGAAGGACAUAAUGAUACACAUGGAUGUGCUUCAAGGAGGGUUCACGCUCGAUAACGGUGGCAUGCUUUUUUUGGUGCAUGUCAGACCCUCACUGAAAAGUUUGCAGCUGCUGGACAGGAAGAGAGAUAAAGUGGCUGUUUUUGAUUUUUUUUUUUUUUUUUGGACUGAAAAGAAGAAAAAAAUCAUUUCUAAAACUGCAAUAACAUUACCUUAUUGAUGGGCAAUACUGAUACUGUUUAUCAAGACCCUCUUCCCCAAUCACUUCUCUUGUAGCAGUAUUUCCACAUUUAGUUCUUUGAGCCUCACUCAGUAUGACGUUAUCUUCACAGAGAUAAUUUUCAUGGGCCUGCUUUGCAUGUUGAUAUUAAGCGUAUUAACUAGGGCUGUUGCGAUUCGCCUAUUCCACGAUUCGAUUCAACUUUCUAUUCUACGGUCACGAUUCGAUUCGAUUCUCGAUUCGAUAUGACUUUUUUUUACCUCCUUUUUUCAGCAUUGUGAGCUGUACGACCAUUAAUUAGGCCACUGUCUUGAUUUGUAAAGAAAAACACUUUUUCUCAAUCAGUCACUUUAAUGACAAAUGAGAAGAAUUCAAUGUUUAACAUAAACAAACAUUAUAGAAUAAAUUAUAAACUUAGGGUUUUAUGCCCUAACAACUUCCAUUUUCAAAUUCUUCUUUAAGAAGAUGUAACAGUUAGUUUUCAGGUAACAAUCAAUCAACCAAUAAUGUUGAACAACAUGUAAGAAAAAAGGACCAACGAACAAUGUUAUUUGGCUACAUUUGGCUCAAAUUCAAAUUCUUCCACAGUGAGUCCACUAGACCACUACUGUAUUAUUCACAUUAUUCUAACAGAGAGCUUUCCUUUUACAAACAUGAAAUGUGAAUAAUGCCAAAACAAUUCCAUUCAUUCAAGCUCUAUAUCUAUGUGCAAAUUCUUCUUAAGGAAGAUGAGCUUGUUCACAUUUUCUGGAGAGAGGCAACUCCUCUCAGCUGUUAUAAGGUCCCCUGCUGUUGAGAACACUCUUUCACUGGCAACACUGGUUGCUUGAACAGAAAGAUAACGUUUGAUUGAGGGCUGCGUCAGGUUUUGUGGUUCUUUCACAUCUUUGUGGUGACGGCUGAGAUGCUGUGCCAUAUUCGUUGUGUUGCUUGUGGAGGGAUACGGCACUCGCAUAUAGCGGAGUCGACAAACAGUAUGCGUCUUACUUACGACCCGUCGAGAGCCCUCACUCUCAUAAUGUACAGGGAAGCCAAAAUAUUUCCACACUUUAGACCUGUAUGAAGCGGGAGGGUUUUCCAGCUCUUCUCUGGGGACAGGCUCAUCCUCGGUGUCGUUGUUUACAGACGCAGUGGCCAUGGUGAAUCGAAUUCACUGUGUAUCUCUCUGUAAUAUAUAUCUGCGGUGACGUUCUGUUCGCUUUCGCUCUCAUUCAUUUCUGUUGUUACUCGAAUCGCCUCUCCUUUUUUCUCUCUCCCAUGUCGGAAGCAUGCAUGCGUCAAGGUAGGGUGUAGUGAGACAGUAGGAGCCCUAACGCAAAUACUCCCCUCCCAUUGGACACAUAACUCAUGUGACUCGUUCUCGUCCAAUGGGACAGGAGUGUUUGUUUGGGAUCUGACUGUCUGAUGAUAGCCUAGCCACAGCCAGCAGCCACACACACCCAUAACAAAACCACAUGGCUCGGAGCCUCGGACGUGCGCGGAAGUCCAUCGCGAUUCACGUUGUGAUUUCGAUACGUUAGAUCGAAUGGCUAUUACGAGUCAUUUCGAUUAAAAUCGUGAAUCGCAACAGGCCUAGUAUUAACCAAGUGAUUUUGCACUAUAUGUUCUGUAGCUUUGCAAUACCGUCAGUUAUUUGUUGUUAAAAAAACAUCUGAUUUGGGGAAAUAAUGCAUUUGUUAUUGUUUUUGUCACAGGAAAACUCUCAGUUUCUUCUUUAGGAGUAAUCAAUAGUUGAUUUUUUAAUUACUUAAAAGAGGUUAGGGCUGCAGCUAUCAAAUAUUUUACUUCUCAAAUAUUCCAUUGAUUUCUUAUAUAAUCUGACCCAAAUGGCUGACUAACACACAGUGAGAGUUCCUACAUCACAAAUCCAAGCUCAAGC
Molecule: non-coding RNA, 9160 nt
Organism: Xyrichtys novacula (pearly razorfish)
Lineage: Eukaryota; Metazoa; Chordata; Actinopteri; Labriformes; Labridae
Source: the annotation of a GenBank genome assembly